GACGAACGCUGGCGGCGUGCCUAAUACAUGCAAGUCGAACGCACUGACGUCGACAGAAGGUGCUUGCACUGGAAGUUGAUUGACGUGAGUGGCGGACGGGUGAGUAACACGUGAGUAACCUGCCCUUAAGCGGGGGAUAACAUUUGGAAACAGAUGCUCAUACCGCCUAAAAGUUGAGAUCACAUGGUCUUAAUUUGAAAGACGGCCUUUGGCUGUCACUUAAGGGUGGUCCCGCGGCGUAUUAGCUCGUUGGUGAGAUAAUAGCCCACCAAGGCGAUGAUACGUAGCCGACCUGAGAGGGUAAUCGGCCACAUUGGGACGGAGACACGGCCCAAACUCCUACGGGAGGCAGCAGUAGGGAAUCUUCCACAAUGGACGAAAGUCUGAUGGAGCAACGCCGCGUGAGUGAAGAAGGUUUUCGGAUCGUAAAACUCUGUUGUUGGAGAAGAACAGGGACUAGAGUAACUGUUAGUCCUUUGACGGUAUCCAACCAGAAAGCCACGGCUAACUACGUGCCAGCAGCCGCUGUAA
RNAcentral lists this ribosomal RNA (531 nucleotides) under uncultured bacterium. RNAcentral describes it as "partial 16S ribosomal RNA". It matches the Rfam family "Bacterial small subunit ribosomal RNA", at positions 28 to 523 of the family's 1533-position model. The record is from RNAcentral.